Molecule: ribosomal RNA, 484 nt
Filed under: uncultured bacterium
Lineage: Bacteria
Description: partial 16S ribosomal RNA
Rfam family: Bacterial small subunit ribosomal RNA
Source: RNAcentral
AUUGAACGCUGGCGGCAGGCCUAACACAUGCAAGUCGAGCGGAUGAAGGGAGCUUGCUCCUGGAUUCAGCGGCGGACGGGUGAGUAAUGCCUAGGAAUCUGCCUGGUAGUGGGGGAUAACGUCCGGAAACGGGCGCUAAUACCGCAUACGUCCUGAGGGAGAAAGUGGGGGAUCUUCGGACCUCACGCUAUCAGAAGAGCCUAGGUCGGAUUAGCUAGUUGGUGGGGUAAAGGCCUACCAAGGCGACGAUCCGUAACUGGUCUGAGAGGAUGAUCAGUCACACGGGAACUGAGACACGGUCCAGACUCCUACGGGAGGCAGCAGUGGGGAAUAUUGGACAAUGGGCGAAAGCCUGAUCCAGCCAUGCCGCGUGUGUGAAGAAGGUCUUCGGAUUGUAAAGCACUUUAAGUUGGGAGGAAGGGCAGUAAGUUAAUACCUUGCUGUUUUGACGUUACCAACAGAAUAAGCACCGGCUAACUUCGUG